Molecule: long non-coding RNA, 345 nt
Organism: Capsella rubella
Lineage: Eukaryota; Viridiplantae; Streptophyta; Magnoliopsida; Brassicales; Brassicaceae
Exons: 2
Source: RefSeq, a predicted model, not a curated record
GGACUUUUCACCAUGCAAAGGUUAGACGUAUAUGUGUUUAAUAUUAUAGAUAUCAUGAUCAGUUCGCUCCAUGGACAAGCAAGAUUUUUGUUAGCCAAGCUCAAUCCUUCUGAUCAUUUUGUUAUCGAGUUCUUUCACGUAUUCUCUUUCCAUCGUCUUCACAAAACUAACUAUACUCAUAUAAGGUGACCUUAUGAUAAUUAAAGAGAGAAAAAUUGCUAAUUAUUGUAACCAGAAAAAUGCUAAUCUAUUUUAUAAUUACCAUUUCUUAGUGCAGUUUCGUUUUUUCACGUAGUCUUUUAUUUAUCUUAAAGUUUAGUAAAAAAAAAAAUUAUUUGUUAUUAA